GCUCCCGUAGUGUAGUCCGGCCAAGCAUAAUGGCCUCUCGAGCCAUUGACAGGGGUUCGAAUCCCCUCGGGAGCA
This 75-nucleotide transfer RNA is filed under the name Thermoplasmatota archaeon. RNAcentral describes it as "Candidatus Thermoplasmatota archaeon tRNA-Glu". It matches the Rfam family "tRNA". Rfam says of the family: Transfer RNA (tRNA) molecules are approximately 80 nucleotides in length. Their secondary structure includes four short double-helical elements and three loops (D, anti-codon, and T loops). Further hydrogen bonds mediate the characteristic L-shaped molecular structure. tRNAs have two regions of fundamental functional importance: the anti-codon, which is responsible for specific mRNA codon recognition, and the 3' end, to which the tRNAs corresponding amino acid is attached (by aminoacyl-tRNA synthetases). tRNAs cope with the degeneracy of the genetic code in two manners: having more than one tRNA (with a specific anti-codon) for a particular amino acid; and 'wobble' base-pairing, i.e. permitting non-standard base-pairing at the 3rd anti-codon position. Lineage: Archaea; Methanobacteriati; Thermoplasmatota. The record is from RNAcentral.